GACGAACGCUGGCGGCGUGCCUAAUACAUGCAAGUCGAACGAGAGCGACCGGUGCUUGCACUGGUCAAUCUAGUGGCGAACGGGUGAGUAGCACGUGGGUAACCUGCCCAUCAGAGGGGGAUAACAUCCGGAAACGGAUGCUAAAACCGCAUAGGUCUUCGAACCGCAUGGUUUGAAGAGGAAAAGAGGCGCAAGCUUCUGCUGAUGGAUGGACCCGCGGUGCAUUAGCUAGUUGGUGAGGUAACGGCUCACCAAGGCCGUGAUGCAUAGCCGACCUGAGAGGGUGAUCGGCCACAUUGGGACUGAGACACGGCCCAAACUCCUACGGGAGGCAGCAGUAGGGAAUCUUCCGCAAUGGACGCAAGUCUGACGGAGCAACGCCGCGUGAGUGAAGAAGGUUUUCGGAUCGUAAAACUCUGUUGUUAGAGAAGAACAAGUGCUAGAGUAACUGUUAGCGCCUUGACGGUAUCUAACCAGAAAGCCACGGCUAACUACGUG
RNAcentral lists this ribosomal RNA (498 nucleotides) under uncultured bacterium. RNAcentral describes it as "partial 16S ribosomal RNA". It matches the Rfam family "Bacterial small subunit ribosomal RNA", at positions 28 to 507 of the family's 1533-position model. The record is from RNAcentral.